Molecule: long non-coding RNA, 764 nt
Filed under: Manacus vitellinus (golden-collared manakin)
Lineage: Eukaryota; Metazoa; Chordata; Aves; Passeriformes; Pipridae
Description: lncRNA (ENSMVIG00005009135.1)
Source: RNAcentral
UGAGCUGGAGAACCCUCACAGAAAAUGCUCAGCAUCUUGUCCCUUCUUGUUUUGAUCAGUACUGGAACCUGUGAGGCACUGGGAGCUUAGGAGCAUCUUUUGGAGCCUGCUACAGGCUGGAGGCUGCCCAGCACACCCUGGAGUAACAGCAAGUUGUCAGAGAAAGAAGUUGUCAGUGAGUUGUCCAGCGUGUUGUGGAGCAGGAGGACGAUUUGCCAAUGACUGAGUGUCUUCCAGGGAUUCCUGAUCCAAUGGUCAGGGAUCCAGCUUUUCACUUCUGAUCUACUGUAAGUUAUGGAAUCUGGCUAAUAGGAACAAAUCUGGAUGAGCUGGUUUAUGGAACAAUAAACACAGGAAGGAACUAAAGAGCACUCCUGAAAACUACCUCCUGGAAUGUAAAAAUUCUGAUCUUCGGGAAAGUAAAGGAACUGCUGUGUGAGAUGAAAAAUGUCAAUAUAUUUGGAGGACAGGCUAUUUCAGACUGGUGGUGAACAACUCCAAAGUCAUGUUUUGGUGAACUUCUGCUCCAAUACCUAUAAGGCUGGCAGUACUUCUCUCCAGAUGUACCAUUUGGCACAUUAAACAGUUCUUUUCUUAGAAGGGAAACCUAUGGUUUUGCCAUGUAAUGCAAAACACCAAUGGAAUCACUACAUAAGCAAAAUGCCAGUAAUGGUACAGUGGUCCAGCCACAAACAUUGGUAUGUUAAUUUUGUUUUAUUUUUCCCAGUGUGUCAUCUGUAGUGCUGUAUUUUGUACCAGGACUA